RNAcentral lists this long non-coding RNA (945 nucleotides) under Homo sapiens (human). RNAcentral describes it as "HSALNT0180801". The record is from RNAcentral. Lineage: Eukaryota; Metazoa; Chordata; Mammalia; Primates; Hominidae.
ACGCGACGGGUUCUGGUCCAAAAACCGCCUAAGUGCUCCGAUAACACCCAGGGACUCGCCUAUUUUUACAGCGCGUUUCUACUUCCAAGGUCUCGGCGUAAUCAUCUUAAUGAGCGUUACUGCUUGCAGGGCACAGUGGCUCACGCCUGUAAUCCCAGCACUUUGGAAGGCCAACGCAGGAGGAUCGCUUGAGCCCAGGAGUUUGAGACCAGCUUGCGCAGCUCCCACUUAUGAGUGAGAACAUAAGCUGUUUGGUGUUUCCAUUCCUGAGUUACUUCACUUAGAAUAAUAGUCUCCAAUUCCAUCCAGGUUGCAGAAAUAAGAUAUGUGGAACGGAGUUAUGUAUCAAAACCCACUUUGAAGGAAGUGGUCAUAGUAAGUGCUACAAGAACACCCAUUGGAUCUUUUUUAGGCAGCCUUUCCUUGCUGCCAGCCACUAAGCUUGGUUCCAUUGCAAUUCAGGGAGCCAUUGAAAAGGCAGGGAUUCCAAAAGAAGAAGUGAAAGAAGCAUACAUGGGUAAUGUUCUACAAGGAGGUGAAGGACAAGCUCCUACAAGGCAGGCAGUAUUGGGUGCAGGCUUACCUAUUUCUACUCCAUGUACCACCAUAAACAAAGUUUGUGCUUCAGGAAUGAAAGCCAUCAUGAUGGCCUCUCAAAGUCUUAUGUGUGGACAUCAGGAUGUGAUGGUGGCAGGUGGGAUGGAGAGCAUGUCCAAUGUUCCAUAUGUAAUGAACAGAGGAUCAACACCAUAUGGUGGGGUAAAGCUUGAAGAUUUGAUUGUAAAAGACGGGCUAACUGAUGUCUACAAUAAAAUUCAUAUGGUAAAUGUGAUUUUUAGUGGAUAAAUGCUAUCUAAUGUCCAAUACUGUUUGAUUUUUCUUACUCUAUGUACUUUACAAACUGAACUGAAAGAUGGGCUCUAUAAAUGUUGAUUUUAGCCGUGU